AAUACGUCUACUUUAUAUUUCUUUGGUGAUCUAACUUAUGAUUAACUUUAUAAGUCAUAAAGCUAGAUUCACCAAAGAAAUAUGUGGUUGGCA
Non-coding RNA from Tribolium castaneum (red flour beetle), 93 nucleotides. RefSeq annotates it as microRNA mir-9d. NCBI's taxonomy places the organism in Eukaryota, Metazoa, Arthropoda, Insecta, Coleoptera, Tenebrionidae. The record is from RefSeq and is marked provisional. The transcript has a single exon.